UAGUCCACGCCGUAAACGAUGAUUACUCGUUAUUGGCGAUACAAUGUCAGUGACUAAGCGAAAGUGAUAAGUAAUCCACCUGGGGAGUACGAUCGCAAGAUUGAAACUCAAAGGAAUUGACGGGGGCCCGCACAAGCGGUGGAGCAUGUGGUUUAAUUCGAUGAUACGCGAGGAACCUUACCAGGGCUUAAAUGCAGAACGACAGAUUUGGAAACAAGUCCUUCUUCGGACGGACUGCAAGGUGCUGCAUGGUUGUCGUCAGCUCGUGCCGUGAGGUGUCAGGUUAAGUCCUAUAACGAGCGCAACCCCUACUGUUAGUUGCCAGCGAGUAAUGUCGGGGACUCUAGCAGAACUGCCGGCGUAAGCCGCGAGGAAGGUGGGGAUGACGUCAAAUCAUCACGGCCCUUACGUCCUGGGCUACACACGUGCUACAAUGGUGCGGACAAAGAGCAGCCACUUGGUGACAAGGAGCUAAUCUCAAAACCGCAUCUCAGUUCGGAUU
This 502-nucleotide ribosomal RNA is filed under the name uncultured bacterium. RNAcentral's name for it is "bacterial SSU rRNA". It matches the Rfam family "Bacterial small subunit ribosomal RNA", at positions 791 to 1299 of the family's 1533-position model. The record is from RNAcentral.